CUUUGUGAUAGCAGGUGGUGAAAUAUUUGGUGAAAAAGCAUUUAACUGGAAUUCCUUCACGGAAGAGGAGACUCACAUUCAGCUCAUUUGGGACUCUGGAGACACAAUCGGGUGUGAAGCCUGGUCCAGUUGAUAGCAUGGAGGUUCAGAAACCAACUAACUCCUGUGCUGAUGGAAUAAGCCAUCAAUUAUGCCCCAAAAAAUGCUUAAAAUGUUUUGCAAGAGUUCCCUCUACAAAGCUCUCCAUGGACCUUCUCCAGAAACAUAUGCUAACUUUACUCCACUUACUGCCCCUCGUGACAACUGUGGACAUGCCAGCCAAAGUUCCCCUGUUUGAGUCUGCCUUUGGGCCAGUGCAAGCUGGCAGUGUAUCUUCUCAACCUCCACAGCCAAAAACCCAUGAAAUUGUGAAGAUACCUGAUGCCUGUUCUGCACCACCACUUCCAUUAGAAGACUGCAGGCUUCAGUCUUCUCAGUGUCUAUGUACUUGUUCAUCAGGAGCAGCUCCAUAACAAAGCAUUAGACACAACCUCCAAAAUGCACCAAAUGGCAUCAGCUUAGGAAAAGGAAAAUAACAACCUCAUGUUUCCCAGAGGUACCAGGGAAGACAUCCACAGACCACCUAGCGGAACGGGUGUUCAAGGGAUCUGGUAUGCAGACCAUGGAGAUGAAAAGGGGGCUGCACAAUGAAAAAUGGUAACUUCUUCCGAUGUGGCUUUGUAGUCCACCCAGAUGCCCCAUGGUUAGGAUCACCUCCAGAUGGCAUCAUAUUUGACCCAAUUUUU
This is a long non-coding RNA of Esox lucius (northern pike), 785 nucleotides long. NCBI's taxonomy places the organism in Eukaryota, Metazoa, Chordata, Actinopteri, Esociformes, Esocidae. The record is from Ensembl.